Molecule: ribosomal RNA, 459 nt
Filed under: uncultured bacterium
Lineage: Bacteria
Description: partial 16S ribosomal RNA
Rfam family: Bacterial small subunit ribosomal RNA
Source: RNAcentral
CCUACGGGGGGCAGCAGUGAGGAAUAUUGGUCAAUGGGCGCAGGCCUGAACCAGCCAAGUCGCGUGAGGGAAGACUGCCCUAUGGGUUGUAAACCUCUUUUAUAAGGGAAGAAUAAUGACUACGUGUAGUCAGAUGCCCGUACCUUAUGAAUAAGCAUCGGCUAACUCCGUGCCAGCAGCCGCGGUAAUACGGAGGAUGCGAGCGUUAUCCGGAUUUAUUGGGUUUAAAGGGUGCGCAGGCGGGCCUUUAAGCCGGCGGUGAAAUCGCGGGGCUCAACCCCGCCGAGCCGUCGGAACUGGGGGGCUUGAGUGCGGCGGAGGCAUGCGGAAUGCGCGGUGUAGCGGUGAAAUGCAUAGAUAUCGCGCAGAACCCCGAUUGCGAAGGCAGCGUGCCGUGCCGCCACUGACGCUGAGGCACGAAAGCGCGGGGAUCGAACAGGAUUAGAUACCCGAGUAGUC